Non-coding RNA from Coturnix japonica (Japanese quail), 5025 nucleotides. Lineage: Eukaryota; Metazoa; Chordata; Aves; Galliformes; Phasianidae. The record is from RefSeq and is a predicted model, not a curated record.
ACCAAGACAAAUCCUUUUCUAUAUCUUGGAAGGGAAGGAAGCAAGGUCUGCCUUUUCUUUCUCUUGACAAGCAUCUGCGUGAGUCAAGAUUUCCUCUGCAAGCCAAUGCAGAAACUUCAAUGCCUGACAUUAAAUAUUCAUUUUUUAAAGCUGUAUUCAACUGGAAAAAAAGUCAAUUAGAGUCUCUUGCAAGGGAAAGAAAAAAACUAUUAGCUAAAUUGGUGACAUUUCCUUUUGAUAGAAACCUGGUGUUUCCAAGAGUCUGAGAUAAAGGCUAAUAGGCAGUAAUCAAAGAACACAUGAACUAGGCCUUAUGCAAUAUCUCUUCCAUCUGUUCAGCACAGAUCCAUGUGAUCCUUACCAUUAGGUACUGAGAUUUCACUUCAUCCCACAAAAGAAGUCUCUUGGAGUAUGUGAGGAGUGUUACGUCCAGGUCACAGUCUUUCUGCCUGGACUGGUGGGCACACUUCCUCAUAGCUGAGCUAAACUGGAACGUAAAGCUUGUUACCAGCCAUAAAUGUAGGUCUGAGAGGGUCUUGGCUUCACCUGGGAUAGUUAACUUUUGUUACUGUAGCUGAUGUAGUGCUGUGUUUUGGACUUACUAUGAGAAUAAUGGAGGUAGUGCAGUGAUGGUUAGUUGUUGCUGAGCAGUGCCAGUAGUGAUGCUUUGAUUAUACUUGUUAAGUGCAGACAGAUAAAGCACCGAACCCAGCAUCCAUUCAUUAUGACGUUUGUUUGUUUUGUGUGAUGUUGUUUUUGUGUGUGUGGAUUCCUAAAAGCAGAGCUGCUUUCAAAACAAAUAGAAGAAACUGCCUUCAUAGGGCUUCCCUCCUCGUGCCUCAAUGAGAACCUCUGGAUCUGCACCAGGCAGCCCCAUUGCUUCAAGCAGCAGCGCUCUGGCUGUGAGUUCCAGUAAUCUGAAUACUCAAGGAGACAACUCAAUGAGAGAACAGGUUUUGUGGAGAAAGCUGCUGGAAGUCAGAAAGCCGUACAGAACUGCUGAGGCCAGGGAAGAAGGGAAGGUAAAUGGUUGCAAUCUUGGCCUCCCUUCAGUGAGCAGCCACUGCAUCACCUUUAUGGGUGUGCCUUCUGUUUUUAGCUUGGAAAAAAAAGGAUGGGGUGAGGAAUCUUUCACAGAUCUUUAUCAGCCUUCACCACACUGUACUCUGAGCUUGGAAACAGGCAUCCAUACUUGCAUUCACUCAACUUGAAAGGGAUUUUUCAAUGUAAUUCUGCAUAAACAGGAUCUAACGCUGGUUCCUUCUCUUAUAAUGUGAACUUGCAAAAUGAUGAACAGGCUCAAUCCCUGUCAGCUACCAGCAGGAUUUGUCCCCUUUGCUUUAUGGCCACGUAAUGAUUAUUUCUCCUUAGCUAACAUGUUAAAAUGCUAUAUUGCUCCAUUUGUUCUUUACCAGGAGCAUGAGAAUUACUGCUCCUUCAAAAAACUGGCAAAAGGAUUUAUUUUUUUCCCCCCAUUAAUGGGCUGAUGAAGCUAAUGGUCUCCAUAAAAGUGUCAGAGAUUGGUGCAGAUGGAAAGGGACCACUGUAGACCUCUCAUCAAACUGAGUCCAGCAACACAUUGCAUGGGGCCUUGUACAGCUAGCUUUGAGUAUCUCCAAGGAUGUAGAUCCUAAAACCACCCUGGGCACCUGUUUCAGUUUUUUUUUAUCACACUCAUGAUGAUCUUUCCUUCUUGGUAUCAAAGUUUCCUGUUCCAGAUUGUCCAUUGCCUUUCAUCCUUCUAAGUGUAAACCACUCCAGAGGGCCUGACUCUGCCUUCUCUAAAUUCCCAGAAUCUGGAGCAUAUAAGAAAAAAAGGAAAAGAAAAAACCAAAAAGGGCAGAGUGGCAGAAUGUACCUCAAGGCUGAGACUUCAGAUAUUACAGAGCUGCAGGGAGAUUAAUCAGAGCUACUGCUUCUGACACCAUUUAAAUGAGGAACAAAAGUACGCAAGAGAACUAAACGUUGCUCAGAGCCUCGCACACAUCAAGAAGCUCAAGUAUUUUUGUCACUAAGAAGAUCCAAAGAGGAACAGACUUUCUGUUCAGUGGGGAGUCUGAGCAUUUCCUCCCAUCAGCAGUAAUGAUAAUGGAUCUCACUUAAUGAGCAGCCACUGAGAUAAACACACACAUGACAACAAAUUAGCAGCUAUGGAUGCAACUCUGAAAGAAAAUGACUACAGGACCCCAGAAUCUCUCCUGCAGGUCAUCGAUUUCUUGGUCCCUUAAUGAAAAUGGAGAAUUAUCACCUCAGUCAGGAGCGGCUCCUGCACCUGGUUCAUUCUUUUAAGAGAUGCUGUAAGGAAGGGCCAUGCUUUCCAAAAGCAGUUUCUGAAAUGUAACUAUAGACCACAGGACUGGAUUGAUGCAGCAGUUUGGCUAUGACCUGAGGAGGCUGAGAAUAGCUCUGGGGCCUCUGCCAAAGCUGAGGCCGCACCUCAUCUCUAGGGCAUGUGGGGAUAACUUUCUUAUUCAGACAGAGCAAAAGCAGGACAAGGCAAACAACCUGUAAGCAAGUACUGGUGUGCAAAUGUGGAGCCGUCCACUUUGAUAAAUGCUGGAAUGGUAUCCCUGCAGCAGCUGCUGCUGCCAGUGCAUCUGGGCAGGCAAGAGCUGCUUGUCUCCUGCACCACCCCUGCAGUGCCAAACCACUGCCAGCAGAGUUGCAGGAAGUCAGGGCCACACGAUCUCCCCACAGGUCACUGGAAGUUGGUUUUAUCUUUAAGUAGCUCCUGUCAGCCUAACGUGUGCAAAGCCUUAUGGAAGCAGUGCCUGGUCUCAGCCCAUUUGCAGGGAGGACAAGUUCCCUUUGCAGCAAUAACCAGGAUAGCCAGCUCUGGCUGCAUGUGGCCUCAGCACAGAGAUGAUGUGCUCCCCUCUCACCCAACAGGAGGUCAGCAUGCCCUGGAAUAAGAGACAUGGGUGGCAAAACUGCCCCUUGACUGCCUUUGUGCCAUUUUUCUUGGCAUGAGGGGAUUUCAGUUUCCAGAGCUGCUAAUCCACUGUAAAGUUCACCUCAUCGCUGGAGGGAGAGCUGCAGCUUUACUUAGAAUCGACAUAUUGCUCUGAUAUGUGUUGCUUCUGGCUGAUGUAUUUAUCAAGCAGUUGUUUCCAUUGCUGCUUUCUCUAAUUUAUGCAAUCACUGCAUGGCACGCUUUAACUCUCUGGUGUGCUUUGUGCAGUUUGUCUACAAGCGGAGAGCAGAUGAAAGCAACCUGAUAGUAGCUGGUUUGCACUCAUUAGAGCAGCACUGGAGGGCUUGUGCUCAGUGCUGACACUGUUCUGAGAUGAGGAAAGCAGAGAUCAGGGCUCUUGGGGUCUUCUUCAAGCCCUCCUUCUCUGUCUGAUCGUUACAAAUCACAAACUGUGUAAAUGGGAUCUAAACCAGAACCCUGAAAAAAUGUGAGACAUCCGAAUUAGGUGGCUUAAUUUGUUUUGGUAGGUUUGUGAAUACACCACUUGCCCAGACAGGUUUGUGUCUGAAGGCAACUGGAAAUGAGGUAGGGCCUGUAAGGGGGGCAAUGAGGAUGUGGCUGCCAGUGUAACAGGAACUGUCCUCGCCAAGGGCCAAGUGUGGUGAGUUAUGGGGUAUCCUCCACUACCACUGCUCAUUAGUUGCAUUUAAUGAAUUUGUGGGAUUUGCCACAUAAUGGGUGCUCAAGAGCCAGAAAGCAAAUCCUGCUGCACACCUGGGCAGAGCUGCAGAGCAUCUGAACAAAUGCAAGCCCGGGCUUUGCCUGAUAAAAAGAGGUGGUGGAAUAAAGUCAUAGAACCAUUAAAAUUGGAAAAGACUGCUAGUAUUAUGGCAUGCAACCAUCACCACCUGGUGAAAGAAGGUGCUUGGGAACUUGUGAGAACACAAGCUUCUGGACAGCAUCCACAUAAAAAAGCAGGCAGACCAGGAUGGAGACUUCCAUAGUUUUGCCCAAGGCCGACCAAAUGGAUACAGCUGACCCAGAUUUGGAGGCCUACGUUCUGCUUUUUGCUUGGAGGUGGUUUUCCUGCUCAUGUCAGCAGGCAGCAGAAAUCAAGAAAGGGCCACAGGUGCCCACUUGGCCAGCACUCAUCCAUCUCCAUCAGCAUGCUGAGCAUCUCAAAGGAAGGCCCCACAGUAAGACUUACAAUGUCUUCCCUCUAUUAUGUCUCCUUAUGAUCAUCAUUUAUUAUGUAUGAGUUUAACCUUCAAAGUCCAAUGUGUUGUGUCCCUUUUAAUGUUUGCAAUUAGGAGAACUCUAAAUAAUUUUUCAGCAUUGCUUUGCUCCAACACCUGCCUCUGGCGGUAUGGUUUAAUUAACCUGCCAGAAGAACAAAUUUCCUCUUACCCUUUGUUUAAUUUCUCACUCUCUAAUUUCAUCAAAUAGUCAUUUGUGUCUCAGUUGCCACAUGGGGACUGUAAAGCAAGGAUGAUAGCACAGUAUUUCCACCUGUGGGUAAUGUCAGUGCAAACAUUCUGAUAAUAACUGCGGCAAGUACCAUGGCUGUGCUGGGCUCUAUGGUAUCAACUUUAGACUAUGAUCUUCCCUAGAUGUACAAGCCACACCCCUAUUAUGUUGCCAUGUAAUUACUGAGAUGAGGCUGCUUGGUGGAGUUCUCAGUCGGUUUGAAAUCCUGCUUCUCCUCUACCAACCGCUCAUUCCUCGCCUCUUCCCACAUCCAUUUUCCCAUGCAUCUGGAAUGCUAAAAAAACAGAAGCUUAUUUAAAGAAGCUUUCUAAAAAAGGGGGGAAACCAUCAGAGCUGCUUCCCAGGGAGUUCUGUGCUGGAUUGUAAUGUAAAACUGCUCAGGACUGCUGAGGAGGAAUCAUAGAGCUAUUAAGGUUAGAGAAUAGCAUUAAGUACAUCACAUCCAACCAUCAGUGUGUCAGCUCCAUGCCCGCUAACCACAUCUCAGUGCCAGGCAGCUCUAGGCACCAAAACCCCACAGGAGCCAUGGUAGGAGAUACAUUCUGUCCCAGAGAGUAGGAUAAUCCCUUUCAUUUAUACUGUGAUACUAUGAGAUGCUGUGACACUCACAGAAUCACAGAAUG